This 1008-nucleotide long non-coding RNA is filed under the name Numida meleagris (helmeted guineafowl). RNAcentral describes it as "lncRNA (ENSNMEG00000009475.1)". The record is from RNAcentral. Lineage: Eukaryota; Metazoa; Chordata; Aves; Galliformes; Numididae.
AUGUGCUGUGUAAAGCUGACUCAGUGUCAUGUGACCUUCCGUGUUCGAAGUGAUGUCAGCUUUCUGGCUGCAGCUACAUCACACCUGCGAAGCCCAAGGAGUUGCACAGAGGUAUGCCAAGGCAGGCACUGGCCAAAGCAGUCACCUCAUCCCCUCAGGAAGGAAGAGCAACUCCUCACAGUCACGGUCCUCUGCCAUUCCCAUGAAGAGCACUGGCCACGCAGGCAGCACCCUGCGAUCUGCUGUCAGGAUCACUGCGGCACCCAUUUUUCCAACCCUAUCAUUUUAUUCCAGUUCCAGCCUUUAUCAUGUGCACAGACUGUCCCUUGGAGAUGCUGAUUACCACAGAGAAUUUAAAUCCUUUACAACAGACUACAUUUCCUGAUUUGCCUUCCACAACCCGAGAAGGCACCUGCAGAUUCCUACAGACCUCUAGCUCACAGUAACAAAACCUGCUGCCUUUAACAUGUCUGUUUGUCUGAAGCAGGAGCACAGCAUCACGCUGUGGGGUUGCUAUACAGCAUGCUGCUUGUCAGCUGCUUUUCAAGCAAUGCCAAUGUGCUCUGGCUCCAGGUCCGAAUGCUAAUGGGAUGCUCUUGUGAGUAAGCAUUUUCCAGACUGAAUGUGUUAUGAUCUCUCUGAACUGCUCUGUUUGGGGAGAAACAUUUCCCAAGGCUGUUUGCCUGACUCCCUUACCUAUCCACUGUGCCACUGAUGGCUGUUUACGAACUACACAGGGCACCAGCAACAAGUGCAUGGGUACUAAUCUGGGGCAUCUGAUGUAUCUCCAGCUUGGCAUUGCCUUGCUGUCUGAUUUGGAGUAGCCACUAAAGCUUUCAUAAGGGUUAUUUUCCGGUGAUUUCCAAGACACAUUUCCAUUUAAGAGCUCUUUUUAGGGUUUGGUUGUGUUUGUAUUGUUCUUUUGUUUGAGUUUUUCCCUGUGCCUGAGGAGGAACACAUACUCUAGAAUCUAAUAAACACUGAAAAUCAAGCUGAGUUAUUUUAGGU